This 253-nucleotide ribosomal RNA is filed under the name uncultured bacterium. RNAcentral's name for it is "partial 16S ribosomal RNA". It matches the Rfam family "Bacterial small subunit ribosomal RNA", at positions 524 to 776 of the family's 1533-position model. The record is from RNAcentral.
UACGUAGGGGGCUAGCGUUGUCCGGAAUCAUUGGGCGUAAAGCGCGUGUAGGCGGCCCGGUAAGUCCGCUGUGAAAGUCGGGGGCUCAACCCUCGGAAGCCGGUGGAUACUGUCGGGCUCGAGUACGGAAGAGGCGAGUGGAAUUCCUGGUGUAGCGGUGAAAUGCGCAGAUAUCGGGAAGAACACCCGUGGCGAAGGCGGUUCUCUGGGACGGUACUGACGCUGAGGCGCGAAAGCCAGGGGAGCAAACGGG